AUUGAACGCUGGCGGCAGGCCUAACACAUGCAAGUCGAGCGGACGAAGGGAGCUUGCUCCUGGAUUCAGCGGCGGACGGGUGAGUAAUGCCUAGGAAUCUGCCUGGUAGUGGGGGAUAACGUCCGGAAACGGGCGCUAAUACCGCAUACGUCCUGAGGUCGAAAGUGGGGGAUCUUCGGACCUCACGCUAUCAGAUGAGCCUAGGUCGGAUUAGCUAGUUGGUGGGGUAAAGGCCUACCAAGGCGACGAUCCGUAACUGGUCUGAGAGGAUGACCAGUCACACUGGAACUGAGACACGGUACAGACUCCUACGGGAGGCAGCAGUGGGGAAUAUUGGACGAUGGGCGAAAGCCUGAUCCAGCCAUGCCGCGUGUGUGAAGAAGGUCUUCGGAUUGUAAAGCACUUUAAGUUGGGAGGAAGGACAGUAAGUUAAUACCUUGCUGUUUUGACGUUACCAACAGAAUAAGCACCGGCUAACUUCGUG
This 484-nucleotide ribosomal RNA is filed under the name uncultured bacterium. RNAcentral's name for it is "partial 16S ribosomal RNA". It matches the Rfam family "Bacterial small subunit ribosomal RNA", at positions 30 to 507 of the family's 1533-position model. The record is from RNAcentral.